Molecule: long non-coding RNA, 1062 nt
Organism: Salvia splendens (bonfire salvia)
Lineage: Eukaryota; Viridiplantae; Streptophyta; Magnoliopsida; Lamiales; Lamiaceae
Exons: 4
Source: RefSeq, a predicted model, not a curated record
ACCUCAUUCAAUUGCAUUACUAUUCCAUCUCCCAGCUCUCAAUUCAGUUGUCGUGAUCAAUGUCCGGACCGUUCCGCAGUCAUGGCUCUGGUAUUACCGGCAGCACUGCACAAGGGAGCACUGAAGGGGGGGAAACAGCAGUACCGUAAGGAGGAUCGUACUCGGCGUUUGUGGACAGCCAUCUUUGAUGGAGUUGACUGCACGAGGCUGGAAAUCGGACAAUGGUUUACAAACCGGUUAUCUCCAAAAGGAUCGAAGACGAUCUGCGCAAGGAAUUCCCCGAAACGGACCUGAAGGGUACGCCCCAUGUUAUCUCCAAGAUCUCUGCUUGGAAGAAUAACUUCAAUAGUCUCUGAAUGAUGCUUUCAAGGACUGAAGUUGGCUUCAAUUCAGACGGAAACCAUAAGAUAGACUGCAACGACGAGCAGUGAUUGUUGCAGCUGAUAAGAAUGCAAAAUUUAUGCGUCACAAACCAUGGCUUUUGUGUGAUGAAUGGAAUGUCAUAUUCGGCAAGUACCGUGCUUCUGGAUCUGUUAUUGAAGACAUUGCCAAAGGCGCAGCUGCAAUCCGACAUGAGAAUGUGGCACGUUACGAGUCUCACAAUGUUGAUCCAUCAAACGACUACGUUGUCAACCUGGAUGAUUUGUUUGACACACCUUGUGAUCCACCAACGAUGAUGUCAACUCCGCCCAGUCAACAGACUGAAAGCACGGGGCAGAGUGUGUAGUGUGAGACCUCACCCCCAAAAGAAUGGAACAAAACGCAAACCACCACAGUCCACUGAUGCAGCUUUACUCGAGUUUCUUGGUCAGAUGCACUCUGAAACCAACAAACGGCUUAAUGUCAUAGCGUCGAGAAUUGGAUAUGAGUUUGAUUUGGGGCAGGCUAUACAUCACAAACUUGGUAGCGUGGCAAGUCUCACGGUUGAGCAGAGGUAUGAAUUGAGUGAUAUACUUGCGGAUAGGGUGCAACGUCUUGAAGUCUUCCUAGGAAUGGCUGAGGAUGUGAAACCGGGCUACGUGCAUAGGCUUGUAGUUAUAACACUAUUGCAAUAUUAACAUG